UCUUGGAAAAUCUCAGCUUGUAUUCUUGAGUAGAACAUCUUACUGAUUUUAAAGAAUUACCAAAAUACCACAAGAUCUGCUCCUUUUUGAAGGCAUGAACAGUUUGUAGAAUGACCUGGCUUCUUCCUGCCAUCCCAUCUCAACCGUAAAGGAAGUCUGUCAGUGUGGAAAGAAAAAAGGAGAGUUGUAGACAUCUAUCGUCAAAAAACCAAAAGAAACUAAAGGUUCUGCUGCGCUUUGGAGCUGACUACAAAUCAUGUCUAUGGAAACAUCAGCAACAAACAAUUUUCUAACAAUGAGCAUGAGGAGUCAGAAGGUUGACUCAUAAUUCAGCACCUACUCAGUUAC
Long non-coding RNA from Motacilla alba alba, 348 nucleotides. RefSeq lists it as uncharacterized. The transcript is spliced from 3 exons. The record is from RefSeq and is a predicted model, not a curated record. Lineage: Eukaryota; Metazoa; Chordata; Aves; Passeriformes; Motacillidae.